RNAcentral lists this ribosomal RNA (467 nucleotides) under uncultured bacterium. Its description in RNAcentral is "partial 16S ribosomal RNA". It matches the Rfam family "Bacterial small subunit ribosomal RNA", at positions 28 to 506 of the family's 1533-position model. The record is from RNAcentral.
GACGAACGCUGGCGGCGUGCUUAACACAUGCAAGUCGAACGGAAAGGCCCUGCUUUUGUGGGGUGCUCGAGUGGCGAACGGGUGAGUAACACGUGAGUAACCUGCCCUUGACUUUGGGAUAACUUCAGGAAACUGGGGCUAAUACCGGAUAGGAGCUCCUGCUGCAUGGUGGGGGUUGGAAAGUUUCGGCGGUUGAGGAUGUACUCGCGGCUUAUCAGCUUGUUGGUGGGGUAGUGGCUUACCAAGGCUUUGACGGGUAGCCGGCCUGAGAGGGUGACCGGCCACAUGGGGACUGAGGUGCGGGCCGGACGCAUACGGGAGGCAGCAGUGGGGAAUAUUGCACAAUGGGCGGAAGCCUGAAGCAGGAACGCCGCGUGGGGGAAGACGGCCUUCGGGUAGUAAACCGCUUUCGCGUGUGACGAAGCGUGAGUGACGGUAAUGGGGAAAGAAGCACCGGCUAACUACGU